UUGUCCCUCGGGCACAUCUGAUAAAAUUGGAACGAUACAGAGAAAAUUAGCAUGACCCUUACGCAAGGAUGACACGCACAAAUCUAGAAAUGGUCCAAAAAAAA
Small nuclear RNA from Cannabis sativa, 104 nucleotides. NCBI's taxonomy places the organism in Eukaryota, Viridiplantae, Streptophyta, Magnoliopsida, Rosales, Cannabaceae. The record is from RefSeq and is a predicted model, not a curated record.